ACAGUCUUCACGUUAGAAAUAAAAGGUUCAGUAACGUUUAAUUUCUCUUUUGGAAAUUCAAAUGGGGUUAGAGCGUCUCUAGCGUGGUUACUGCUUCUCUUGGUUACCUAGGCAACCUAGAGGGUCCCUAGUGGGAUUACCCCCACGCGCCGCCUAGCGGCACGUGACAGAGCCUUCAUAGUGAAUUCGCCGCGGACGCCAUUUGCUCCAUGGAAAGUGGCGCGAUAAGAGGUGCCGAAUUCUCCGCGAUUAAUUAGAUUACUGUGAGUUCCCGAUUGAAAUUCAAACACAGGGAAGGUGUUAUCGACGCCAUGAUGAAUUGUGUUCAACUCAAACGGACUCUCUCGAAGAAUGGUCAAUUUGCAACUUAUUCAAACAAAAAGAAUAAAACUGAAUGGAGAACUACACAUAAUACGCCAAAAAUAUUCAGGAUAACGUAAUAAUUGCAUGCGAUGUUUGAACUGAAAAAUAAACCGAUGGAGACAUACAUUUGCGAACCAUUGUGGUACCUGUACAAACCAGGUCUUGACAAUGAAGAUUGUUUGGGAAGAUCUAUGCUUAAAAAUUUUAAGGGAAAUCUUCGAGCAAGUGCAGCCAUAACAUGCGUGCACUAUAUCUUCGACCAGUAGAGUGCUCCGAUCGAGUGUAUAGUCCUCUGAUUAGCUGCAGCAUUUCCCCAUAAACUAGUGCCAUCGUCAUAAUUCGGAACACUUCUUCUUUGCGUGGGUGGAGAAGGUUCUUCCCAGCCUGAUGGUUUCCCA
This is a long non-coding RNA of Hylaeus volcanicus, 761 nucleotides long. RefSeq lists it as uncharacterized. Lineage: Eukaryota; Metazoa; Arthropoda; Insecta; Hymenoptera; Colletidae. The record is from RefSeq and is a predicted model, not a curated record. The transcript has 5 exons.